CCUACGGGUGGCAGCAGUGGGGAAUAUUGGACAAUGGGGGCAACCCUGAUCCAGCCAUGCCGCGUGUGUGAAGAAGGCCCUCGGGUUGUAAAGCACUUUCAGUGAGGAAGAACGCCUGGUGGUUAAUACCCAUCAGGAAAGACAUCACUCACAGAAGAAGCACCGGCUAACUCCGUGCCAGCAGCCGCGGUAAUACGGAGGGUGCGAGCGUUAAUCGGAAUUACUGGGCGUAAAGCGCGCGUAGGUGGCUUGAUAAGCCGGUUGUGAAAGCCCCGGGCUCAACCUGGGAACGGCAUCCGGUACUGUCAAGCUAGAGUGCAGGAGAGGAAGGUAGAAUUCCCGGUGUAGCGGUGAAAUGCGUAGAGAUCGGGAGGAAUACCAGUGGCGAAGGCGGCCUUCUGGACUGACACUGACACUGAGGUGCGAAAGCGUGGGUAGCAAACAGGAUUAGAUACCCUUGUAGUC
This 465-nucleotide ribosomal RNA is filed under the name Vreelandella stevensii. Its description in RNAcentral is "partial 16S ribosomal RNA". It matches the Rfam family "Bacterial small subunit ribosomal RNA", at positions 338 to 795 of the family's 1533-position model. The record is from RNAcentral. Lineage: Bacteria; Pseudomonadati; Pseudomonadota; Gammaproteobacteria; Oceanospirillales; Halomonadaceae.